RNAcentral lists this ribosomal RNA (1065 nucleotides) under Triticum aestivum (bread wheat). Its description in RNAcentral is "partial small subunit ribosomal RNA". Lineage: Eukaryota; Viridiplantae; Streptophyta; Magnoliopsida; Poales; Poaceae. The record is from RNAcentral.
AUGGAUGACGUAUGUGCAGAGCCAAGGCUGCUGCCGUUCCAGCUUUUAAAAGAAAUCACAAAUGAUUUCUCUACGGACAUGAAAGUUGGCGAGGGAUCAUUCGGAGAAGUUUAUAAGGGAGAGCAGAAAAAUGGGCAAAUGAUUGCUGUGAAGGUACUUCAUCCCAUUUCACGACUUGGUAAUAAAGAAUUUGAGAAGGAGUACCAGAACCUCGCAACUGUACAACAUAAAAACAUUGUGCGGUUAGUUGGCUAUAGCCAUGAAACUUUUGGAGAAUUCAGACAUUUUGAAGGAAGAUCGCUUUUUAUAGAAACGAUAAAGAGAGCCCUUUGCUUCAAGUAUAUGGAACAUGGAAGCCUUGACAGGUUUCUUGCUGAUGAAUCUAGUGGACAUGAUUGGCGCACACGCUUUGCAAUAAUUAAGGGGAUUUGCCAGGGUUUAAAACACCUUCAGGAGGAAUUGAAUCCUCCUAUGUAUCAUUUGGAUUUAAAACCAGCCAAUAUAUUGCUGGAUGAAAAUAUGGUGCCCAAAAUCGCAGAUUUUGGCUUGUCAAGGCUCUUUGGAGGAGAACAAACACAAAUGACAAACACUCGUAUAGGAACAAUUGGUUUCAUACCACCGGAAUUUAUUGACGCGGGUGUAAUUUCUAUUAAGUUUGAUAUAUAUAGUUUGGGGAUGGUAAUUAUAAAGAUAAUGACAGGACCAGAUGGGUACUUUCGAAGUGCUGAAAUGUCUCCACAACAAUUCGUAGAGCUUGAACAUGUGAAAUGGAAGAAUAAGCUACAAACAACAUCGGUUUACAUGUUGGAGCUAUAUUGUAAACAAGUAAAGAGUUGCCUCGAAAUAGCUGUAAGCUGUGUGGAUGUAGAUCGACACAAGAGGCCUAGCAUAGGGGUAGUCAUUGCUAGGCUGAAUGAGACGGAGACUGCAGUGAAAUUACUUGGUGCGCUGAUGAACGACAGAGGGUCAUCGAUGUACAAGGCUAUCAACUUUCCAAGAAAGCAGGCCAAGAAAAAAUAUGCAAGCUCAGGGAAAGUGCAGUUGGCAAUCGAGAACAACAGAUAG